This 76-nucleotide transfer RNA is filed under the name Serratia phage vB_SmaM-Kamaji. RNAcentral describes it as "tRNA-Lys". It matches the Rfam family "tRNA". Rfam says of the family: Transfer RNA (tRNA) molecules are approximately 80 nucleotides in length. Their secondary structure includes four short double-helical elements and three loops (D, anti-codon, and T loops). The record is from RNAcentral. Lineage: Duplodnaviria; Heunggongvirae; Uroviricota; Caudoviricetes; Demerecviridae.
GGGUCGUUAGCUUAAUUGGUGAAGCAGAGUACUUUUAAUGCUAAGACUACUGGUUCGAGUCCAGUACGACCCACCA